RNAcentral lists this ribosomal RNA (554 nucleotides) under Escherichia coli. RNAcentral's name for it is "bacterial SSU rRNA". It matches the Rfam family "Bacterial small subunit ribosomal RNA", at positions 199 to 748 of the family's 1533-position model. The record is from RNAcentral. Lineage: Bacteria; Pseudomonadati; Pseudomonadota; Gammaproteobacteria; Enterobacterales; Enterobacteriaceae.
ACCUUCGGGCCUCUUGCCAUCGGAUGUGCCCAGAUGGGAUUAGCUAGUAGGUGGGGUAACGGCUCACCUAGGCGACGAUCCCUAGCUGGUCUGAGAGGAUGACCAGCCACACUGGAACUGAGACACGGUCCAGACUCCUACGGGAGGCAGCAGUGGGGAAUAUUGCACAAUGGGCGCAAGCCUGAUGCAGCCAUGCCGCGUGUAUGAAGAAGGCCUUCGGGUUGUAAAGUACUUUCAGCGGGGAGGAAGGGAGUAAAGUUAAUACCUUUGCUCAUUGACGUUACCCGCAGAAGAAGCACCGGCUAACUCCGUGCCAGCAGCCGCGGUAAUACGGAGGGUGCAAGCGUUAAUCGGAAUUACUGGGCGUAAAGCGCACGCAGGCGGUUUGUUAAGUCAGAUGUGAAAUCCCCGGGCUCAACCUGGGAACUGCAUCUGAUACUGGCAAGCUUGAGUCUCGUAGAGGGGGGUAGAAUUCCAGGUGUAGCGGUGAAAUGCGUAGAGAUCUGGAGGAAUACCGGUGGCGAAGGCGGCCCCCUGGACGAAGACUGACGCUC